UUCUGUCUUCGUGAAGCCCUGCCAUGCAACCUCUGUUUCGAGCCGCCGCCCAUUCCGUUCUCCUCUGUUUUCUGCACUGCCGCGCGACUCUCCGACCGCGUCAGAUCGUUGAUCGAUUUUGAGGCAGCCGCCACGUCUCCUUUGGCCGACCGCUGACCGACCCACACUUAGGAUUUUUGCUGCGAGUCCGACAGUCGUGCGUUGAGGUGUUGGGAGUAAUGUUGGGCUCCCUUAAAUUCACAACCAAUUUGUGAAUUGUUGAGGGUUCAGUUCGCCAAUAUGUCGGAUUGUUUCGAGGACGUUAGUUGAUUAAGGAGCUUCCCCAACUUUGAGGUAAGGGACUUUCUACUGGACUCACCUAAAGUUUUUGAGUUGUGUUGGACUGUAUGGAUGAUGAUUAAGAUGUACAUGUUUGGUUGCAGACUAAAUGUUUAGUGUAUGUUGUAUUUGACUGGAAACAUAUAUAUAUACAUUGAUGUGUGAAUUGAUGUGGAUUGCCGAAAGUAUACAUGUGAAUGACUGAAAUUAUGCUUAUGUGUA
Molecule: long non-coding RNA, 540 nt
Organism: Cucumis sativus (cucumber)
Lineage: Eukaryota; Viridiplantae; Streptophyta; Magnoliopsida; Cucurbitales; Cucurbitaceae
Exons: 3
Source: RefSeq, a predicted model, not a curated record